RNAcentral lists this ribosomal RNA (473 nucleotides) under uncultured bacterium. RNAcentral describes it as "bacterial SSU rRNA". It matches the Rfam family "Bacterial small subunit ribosomal RNA", at positions 34 to 507 of the family's 1533-position model. The record is from RNAcentral.
CGCUGGCGGCGUGCUUAAUACAUGCAAGUCAACUUGACUUUAGAUAGCAAUAUCGAAAGUAGGGUGGCGCACGGGUGCGUAACGCGUAGGUAAUCUGCCCUGAGGUCUGACAUAACCCGUCGAAAGGCGGGCUAACAUCAGAUGAUAUAUAAUCACGACAUCGUGGAAAUAUCAAAUCUUCGGAGCCUUGGGAUGAGCCUGCGUCUGAUUAGGUAGUUGGCGGAGUAAUAGCCCACCAAGCCUACGGUCAGUAGCUGGUCUGAGAGGAUGAUCAGCCACACUGGAACUGAGACACGGUCCAGACUCCUACGGGAGGCAGCAGUAAGGAAUAUUGCUCAAUGGGGGGAAACCCUGAAGCAGCAACGCCGCGUGAAGGAUGAAAUACUUUGUAUGUAAACUUCUGUAAGAUGGGAAAAAUAUUCUCCUCGGGAGAAUUGAUUGUACCAUCAGAGUAAGCCCCGGCUAACUACGUG